AACAAAAUACAGGGGAGCUCGUGACGCGGGCUGAGAGGAAGUACCCGAACUUCGACCCUUUUACCUGAUGCGGAUAAUGCCGCCGUAGGAAGUCAUAGGGUGUAUGAG
This 108-nucleotide non-coding RNA is filed under the name Faecalibacterium prausnitzii. Its description in RNAcentral is "TPP sequence". It matches the Rfam family "TPP riboswitch aptamer (THI element)". From Rfam's summary of the family: Vitamin B(1) in its active form thiamin pyrophosphate (TPP) is an essential coenzyme that is synthesised by coupling of pyrimidine and thiazole moieties in bacteria. The previously detected thiamin-regulatory element, thi box was extended, resulting in a new, highly conserved RNA secondary structure, the THI element, which is widely distributed in eubacteria and also occurs in some archaea. Lineage: Bacteria; Bacillati; Bacillota; Clostridia; Eubacteriales; Oscillospiraceae. The record is from RNAcentral.